This 492-nucleotide ribosomal RNA is filed under the name uncultured bacterium. Its description in RNAcentral is "partial 16S ribosomal RNA". It matches the Rfam family "Bacterial small subunit ribosomal RNA", at positions 28 to 507 of the family's 1533-position model. The record is from RNAcentral.
GAUGAACGCUAGCUACAGGCUUAACACAUGCAAGUCGAGGGGAAACGACAUCGAAAGCUUGCUUUUGAUGGGCGUCGACCGGCGCACGGGUGAGUAACGCGUAUCCCACCUGCCCAUCACUUGGGAAUAACCUUGCGAAAGUAAGACUAAUACACAAUGAUAUCCCACGAAGGCAUCGGAAUGUGAUUAAAGAUUUAUCGGUGAUGGAUGGGGAUGCGUCUGAUUAGCUUGUUGGCGGGGUAACGGCCCACCAAGGCAACGAUCAGUAGGGGUUCUGAGAGGAAGGUCCCCCACAUUGGAACUGAGACACGGUCCAAACUCCUACGGGAGGCAGCAGUGAGGAAUAUUGGUCAAUGGGCGAGAGCCUGAACCAGCCAAGUAGCGUGCAGGAAGACGGCCCUAUGGGUUGUAAACUGCUUUUAUAAGGGAAUAAAGUGGGUCACGUGUGACUUUUUGCAUGUACCUUAUGAAUAAGGACCGGCUAAUUCCGUG